GAUGAACGCUGGCGGCGUGCCUAACACAUGCAAGUCGAACGAUGAAACCGCCCUCGGGCGGACAUGAAGUGGCGAACGGGUGAGUAACACGUGACCAACCUGCCCCUUGCUCCGGGACAACCUUGGGAAACCGAGGCUAAUACCGGAUACUCCUCGCCCCCCUCCUGGGGGCCCGGGAAAGCCCAGACGGCAAAGGAUGGGGUCGCGGCCCAUUAGGUAGUAGGCGGGGUAACGGCCCACCUAGCCCGCGAUGGGUAGCCGGGUUGAGAGACCGACCGGCCACAUUGGGACUGAGAUACGGCCUAGACUCCUACGGGAGGCAGCAGUGGUGAAUUUUGCGCAAUGGGGGAAACCCUGACGCAGCAACGCCGCGUGCGGGACGACGGCCUUCGGGUUGUAAACCGCUUUCAGCAGGGAAGAAAUUCGACGGUACCUGCAGAAGAAGCUCCGGCUAACUACGUGCCAGCCGCCGCCGUAA
This 478-nucleotide ribosomal RNA is filed under the name uncultured bacterium. RNAcentral's name for it is "partial 16S ribosomal RNA". It matches the Rfam family "Bacterial small subunit ribosomal RNA", at positions 28 to 523 of the family's 1533-position model. The record is from RNAcentral.